Molecule: ribosomal RNA, 68 nt
Filed under: Ruminiclostridium sufflavum DSM 19573
Lineage: Bacteria; Bacillati; Bacillota; Clostridia; Eubacteriales; Oscillospiraceae
Description: partial 16S ribosomal RNA
Rfam family: Bacterial small subunit ribosomal RNA
Source: RNAcentral
AUUAAUUUGAGAGUUUGAUCCUGGCUCAGGACGAACGCUGGCGGCGUGCCUAACACAUGCAAGUCGAG